Molecule: unclassified non-coding RNA, 247 nt
Filed under: uncultured fungus
Lineage: Eukaryota; Fungi
Description: sequence contains ITS1
Source: RNAcentral
CUGAAGAUAAGGUGUUAGUUGAUGGCCGGUCUUCGGAUUAGCCUCCUACUCCUUACUCUUAUACACACCUUUAUAAGUCUUCUAAGACAGUAGCGCUAAUGUGUUAGUCUUUGGUCUUUAUUGACCAUUGACUUUCGCAGGCCCUUAGGCGAUCCUUAACCGGAAAGUCUAAGGGAAACGUUACUGGCUUAACCGUUUACACUACUAGUUUACUGGUUCUAAAUUGAUAUCAUCUAAUGAUAUUAAA